This 386-nucleotide unclassified non-coding RNA is filed under the name Hevea brasiliensis (rubber tree). The record is from RNAcentral. Lineage: Eukaryota; Viridiplantae; Streptophyta; Magnoliopsida; Malpighiales; Euphorbiaceae.
GGAAUCGGCUAUAUAAGCAACAAAAAGAUGAACUAAGGAAAAUAGCGUCAGAACUCAAGAGAAAAUGAGAAGCAAGCUGCAGUUUUGUACAUAGCGUACUUCUGGUACAGAUUUCUGACUUCUUGGACCUGACUUCUGGUAAUGGUGUUCUUGCAAUUAGUUCAUUGGAGUCAUGCAAGUCUUUUGUUCGAUUGACACAUCUGGUGGUUCAGGAUAGAUGACUACUAGACACUCCCUUACUUCUCCAAGCUCUUGGCAUUUUUGGAUGUACCAUAAUCCUUCCUACCUUCCUUGGUGACCUCAAACCUCAUAGUUGGGGCAAUUGAUUAAUGUCAAAGUCACAAAGUUUAGCUUGCAGCAAUAUACAUAUUUCUAUCCGAAAUUUU